ACCUGGGUGGCUCAGAUGGUAGAGCAUGAGACUCUUGAUCUCAGGGUUGUGAGUUCAAGUCCCAGGUU
This 68-nucleotide transfer RNA is filed under the name Felis catus (domestic cat). It matches the Rfam family "tRNA". Rfam says of the family: Transfer RNA (tRNA) molecules are approximately 80 nucleotides in length. Their secondary structure includes four short double-helical elements and three loops (D, anti-codon, and T loops). RNAcentral also lists the same sequence under 3 other names. Lineage: Eukaryota; Metazoa; Chordata; Mammalia; Carnivora; Felidae. The record is from Rfam by way of RNAcentral.